RNAcentral lists this ribosomal RNA (217 nucleotides) under uncultured soil bacterium. RNAcentral describes it as "partial 16S ribosomal RNA". It matches the Rfam family "Bacterial small subunit ribosomal RNA", at positions 26 to 247 of the family's 1533-position model. The record is from RNAcentral.
AGAUUGAACGCUGGCGGCAGGCAUAACACAUGCAAGUCGAGCGGUAGAGAGGUGCUUGCAUCUCUUGAGAGCGGCGGACGGGUGAGUAAUGCCUAGGAAUCUGCCUGGUAGUGGGGAUAACGCUCGGAAACGGCGCUAAUACCGCAUACGUCCUACGGGAGAAAGCGAGGGGACCUUCGGGCCUUGCGCUAUCAGAUGAGCCUAGGUCGAUUAGCUA